UACAGAGGGGGCAAGCGUUGUUCGGAAUUACUGGGCGUAAAGGGCGCGUAGGCGGCCAGACCAAGUCGAGUGUGAAAUUGCAGGGCUUAACUUUGCAGGGUCGCUCGAUACUGGUCGGCUAGAGUGUGGAAGAGGGUACUGGAAUUCCCGGUGUAGCGGUGAAAUGCGUAGAUAUCUGGAGGAACACCGGUGGCGAAGGCGGCAUUCUGGACUGUAACUGACACUGAGGAACGAAAGCCAGGGGAGCAAACGGG
RNAcentral lists this ribosomal RNA (254 nucleotides) under uncultured bacterium. RNAcentral's name for it is "partial 16S ribosomal RNA". It matches the Rfam family "Bacterial small subunit ribosomal RNA", at positions 524 to 776 of the family's 1533-position model. The record is from RNAcentral.